CACAAACUCUUUGAAAGUACUAGAAUGUAAUAUUGGGAUAUAAUAGAUCUAUAUACAAUUUUCAGCAACGGAUCUCUUGGCUCUCGCAUCGAUGAAAAACGCAGCGAAAUGCGAUAAGUAAUGUGAAUUGCAAAAUUCAGUGAAUCAUCCAAUCUUUGAACGCACCUUGCGCUCCUUGGUAUUCCGAGGAGAAUGCCUGUUUGAGUGUCAUGAAAUCUUCCACUUGCAACCUCUUUGCGGAUUUUGUAGGCUUGGACUUGGAGGGCUUGUUGGCCUUUAAUGGUCGGCUCCUCUUAAAUGCAUUACCUUGAUUCCUUGCGGAUCGGCUGUCGGUGUGAUAAAAUGUCUACCCCGUGACCGAGAAGCGUUUGGAUGACCUUCCAACCGUCUUGCUUCAAAGACAAGUUUUUAUGACCUCUGACCUCAAAUCAGGUAGGACUACCCGCUGAACUUAACCAUAUCAAUAAGCGAGAGGAAAAGAAACUAACAAGGAUUCCCCUAGUAACUGCGAGUGAAGCGGAAAAA
This 525-nucleotide ribosomal RNA is filed under the name Ganoderma sp. BAB-5243. Its description in RNAcentral is "eukaryotic LSU rRNA". The stretch from base 57 to 210 matches the Rfam family "5.8S ribosomal RNA". Lineage: Eukaryota; Fungi; Basidiomycota; Agaricomycetes; Polyporales; Polyporaceae. The record is from RNAcentral.